RNAcentral lists this ribosomal RNA (1625 nucleotides) under Escherichia coli. RNAcentral's name for it is "partial 23S ribosomal RNA". It matches the Rfam family "Bacterial large subunit ribosomal RNA", at positions 1220 to 2825 of the family's 2925-position model. Lineage: Bacteria; Pseudomonadati; Pseudomonadota; Gammaproteobacteria; Enterobacterales; Enterobacteriaceae. The record is from RNAcentral.
GUUGUUGGGUAGGGGAGCGUUCUGUAAGCCUGUGAAGGUGUACUGUGAGGUAUGCUGGAGGUAUCAGAAGUGCGAAUGCUGACAUAAGUAACGAUAAAGCGGGUGAAAAGCCCGCUCGCCGGAAGACCAAGGGUUCCUGUCCAACGUUAAUCGGGGCAGGGUGAGUCGACCCCUAAGGCGAGGCCGAAAGGCGUAGUCGAUGGGAAACAGGUUAAUAUUCCUGUACUUGGUGUUACUGCGAAGGGGGGACGGAGAAGGCUAUGUUGGCCGGGCGACGGUUGUCCCGGUUUAAGCGUGUAGGCUGGUUUUCCAGGCAAAUCCGGAAAAUCAAGGCUGAGGCGUGAUGACGAGGCACUACGGUGCUGAAGCAACAAAUGCCCUGCUUCCAGGAAAAGCCUCUAAGCAUCAGGUAACAUCAAAUCGUACCCCAAACCGACACAGGUGGUCAGGUAGAGAAUACCAAGGCGCUUGAGAGAACUCGGGUGAAGGAACUAGGCAAAAUGGUGCCGUAACUUCGGGAGAAGGCACGCUGAUAUGUAGGUGAAGUCCCUCGCGGAUGGAGCUGAAAUCAGUCGAAGAUACCAGCUGGCUGCAACUGUUUAUUAAAAACACAGCACUGUGCAAACACGAAAGUGGACGUAUACGGUGUGACGCCUGCCCGGUGCCGGAAGGUUAAUUGAUGGGGUUAGCGGUAACGCGAAGCUCUUGAUCGAAGCCCCGGUAAACGGCGGCCGUAACUAUAACGGUCCUAAGGUAGCGAAAUUCCUUGUCGGGUAAGUUCCGACCUGCACGAAUGGCGUAAUGAUGGCCAGGCUGUCUCCACCCGAGACUCAGUGAAAUUGAACUCGCUGUGAAGAUGCAGUGUACCCGCGGCAAGACGGAAAGACCCCGUGAACCUUUACUAUAGCUUGACACUGAACAUUGAGCCUUGAUGUGUAGGAUAGGUGGGAGGCUUUGAAGUGUGGACGCCAGUCUGCAUGGAGCCGGCCUUGAAAUACCACCCUUUAAUGUUUGAUGUUCUAACGUUGGCCCCUGAUCGGGGUUGCGGACAGUGUCUGGUGGGUAGUUUGACUGGGGCGGUCUCCUCCUAAAGAGUAACGGAGGAGCACGAAGGUUGGCUAAUCCUGGUCGGACAUCAGGAGGUUAGUGCAAUGGCAUAAGCCAGCUUGACUGCGAGCGUGACGGCGCGAGCAGGUGCGAAAGCAGGUCAUAGUGAUCCGGUGGUUCUGAAUGGAAGGGCCAUCGCUCAACGGAUAAAAGGUACUCCGGGGAUAACAGGCUGAUACCGCCCAAGAGUUCAUAUCGACGGCGGUGUUUGGCACCUCGAUGUCGGCUCAUCACAUCCUGGGGCUGAAGUAGGUCCCAAGGGUAUGGCUGUUCGCCAUUUAAAGUGGUACGCGAGCUGGGUUUAGAACGUCGUGAGACAGUUCGGUCCCUAUCUGCCGUGGGCGCUGGAGAACUGAGGGGGGCUGCUCCUAGUACGAGAGGACCGGAGUGGACGCAUCACUGGUGUUCGGGUUGUCAUGCCAAUGGCACUGCCCGGUAGCUAAAUGCGGAAGAGAUAAGUGCUGAAAGCAUCUAAGCACGAAACUUGCCCCGAGAUGAGUUCUCCCUGACUCCUUGAG